AAGGCGUCGCCUAGUAUUUCAGCUCGCCCGCCCGCCCGGCUGUCGGUCGGCCGACAAGGCAACCAAGGUCCCUCCAGCCGCUCCCGAAAUCGACAGGGACAGAUGCGACAGUCCAUUUGAAGUGUGGGAGAGCAGAAAACUUGCGUGCGGGACGGUACCAAGCAGAAAUCUGCAGGUCCGACAACAUGAGAACGUCGGAUAGUGCGACCGGUCUAGAAAAGCAGCAGACCUGGUACUUAUGCAAUAACACGCUUCGUUGGCCUAUUCGGUGUACAAGGGAAGAGGAUCACCCACCGAUAAGAAGUAGAUAAGCAUCUGGGUUUUAAGUUUUAACGAAAUAUGUCAAAACGGUCCCUGGACCUGCAAUCAUGCAAGCCAAUCAUGCAAGCCAAGACAGCAUCCCCUGACGGCUCUGACAGCGACCGCUCUAUACAGGACCACAGUGUGCUGCUGGCAGUCUUCGGUGCCGGAACAGGCUGCUUUGCUGAGCAAUCGCCGGACAUCGUUGCGGUGAUGUUAGUAAUCACUUUGUGUCUAACUCGUAUACUUGCUCGAGAAAACCUAAAAAAGGCAACAUUAGCGGGGCACUCGCCAGCUAAUUUUGCCAACGGAUUCAGGCAGCGCGCUGAGCAAGGAACCAACGUGCCAACUCGUGCUUGAAGACCUUUGUACAUUCCACUCAUGGAAGCAGCAUUGUCGUAGGACCGCCAUACCUUCCUUGAUGUUUAUGCCUUGUGCGUCGAAUAAGCUGAUUAAAUCUUCGAACAUGUCCUCAGCA
Ornithodoros turicata is the source of this 778-nucleotide long non-coding RNA. RefSeq lists it as uncharacterized. The record is from RefSeq and is a predicted model, not a curated record. NCBI's taxonomy places the organism in Eukaryota, Metazoa, Arthropoda, Arachnida, Ixodida, Argasidae. The transcript is spliced from 4 exons.